Molecule: ribosomal RNA, 725 nt
Filed under: Pseudoalteromonadaceae bacterium ACEMC 17-6
Lineage: Bacteria; Pseudomonadati; Pseudomonadota; Gammaproteobacteria; Alteromonadales; Pseudoalteromonadaceae
Description: bacterial SSU rRNA
Rfam family: Bacterial small subunit ribosomal RNA
Source: RNAcentral
ACCCAUGCAGUCGAGCGGUAACAGAGAGUAGCUUGCUACUUUGCUGACGAGCGGCGGACGGGUGAGUAAUGCUUGGGAACAUGCCUUGAGGUGGGGGACAACAGUUGGAAACGACUGCUAAUACCGCAUAAUGUCUACGGACCAAAGGGGGCUUCGGCUCUCGCCUUUAGAUUGGCCCAAGUGGGAUUAGCUAGUUGGUGAGGUAAUGGCUCACCAAGGCGACGAUCCCUAGCUGGUUUGAGAGGAUGAUCAGCCACACUGGGACUGAGACACGGCCCAGACUCCUACGGGAGGCAGCAGUGGGGAAUAUUGCACAAUGGGCGCAAGCCUGAUGCAGCCAUGCCGCGUGUGUGAAGAAGGCCUUCGGGUUGUAAAGCACUUUCAGUCAGGAGGAAAGGUUAGUAGUUAAUACCUGCUAGCUGUGACGUUACUGACAGAAGAAGCACCGGCUAACUCCGUGCCAGCAGCCGCGGUAAUACGGAGGGUGCGAGCGUUAAUCGGAAUUACUGGGCGUAAAGCGUACGCAGGCGGUUUGUUAAGCGAGAUGUGAAAGCCCCGGGCUCAACCUGGGAACUGCAUUUCGAACUGGCAAACUAGAGUGUGAUAGAGGGUGGUAGAAUUUCAGGUGUAGCGGUGAAAUGCGUAGAGAUCUGAAGGAAUACCGAUGGCGAAGGCAGCCACCUGGGUCAACACUGACGCUCAUGUACGAAAGCGUGGGGAGCAAA